This 254-nucleotide ribosomal RNA is filed under the name uncultured bacterium. Its description in RNAcentral is "partial 16S ribosomal RNA". It matches the Rfam family "Bacterial small subunit ribosomal RNA", at positions 524 to 776 of the family's 1533-position model. The record is from RNAcentral.
UACGGAGGAGGCAAGCGUUAUCCGGAAUUAUUGGGCGUAAAGCGUCCGCAGGUGGCACUUCAAGUCUGUCGUCAAAGACUGGGGCUUAACCCUGGAAAGGCGGUGGGAAACUGAAGCGCUAGAGUGCGGUAGGGGUAGAGGGAAUUCCCGGUGUAGCGGUGAAAUGCGUAGAGAUCGGGAAGAACAUCGGUGGCGAAAGCGCUCUACUGGACCGCAACUGACACUCAGGGACGAAAGCUAGGGGAGCGAAUGGG